This is a long non-coding RNA of Onychostoma macrolepis, 2542 nucleotides long. RefSeq lists it as uncharacterized. NCBI's taxonomy places the organism in Eukaryota, Metazoa, Chordata, Actinopteri, Cypriniformes, Cyprinidae. The record is from RefSeq and is a predicted model, not a curated record. The transcript has 3 exons.
ACCAAUGGCUUAGAGAUUUUGAGGAGUUGAUGUCACUUCAACAGCAUAAUCAUCUUGUAAAUACUAUACAGUGAUAUUAUGAAAUAUUACCAUUUAAAAUAAUGUUUUUGUAUUUAAAUAGUAAUUUAUUCACAUGAUUGCAAAGCUUAAUUUUCAGAUUCAGUGUCACAUGAUCCUUCAGAAGUUUAAUAUGGUGCUGAUUUUUGUAGAAACAAUGAUGCAUUUUUUUCUGUAUUUUAUUGAUGAAUCAAAAGUUCAAAAGAACAGCAUUUACAUUAUAAAUGUCUUUAAUGUAACUUUUGACCAGUGUAAUGCAUUCUUGCUGAGUAAGUGUGUGUGUGUGUGUAUAUAUGUAUGGUCCCUAAUUGCAUGAUAUUGACAAAAUGAAUGCUUGAAAAAUGAGUUAAUGUCAGUCUGAUUCAUUGUGCUGACGUAAACAAAUCUGCACCAUUAAGGUUAGUGUAGCACAUGACCAUUAGCUGUCCAUUGGUUUUUUACUUUAGGGCAUUCUCCAUGGCUGCUAAUGCUCACUAUGCACAUUUCUAGAUAGUGAAACAUUUUGACAGGCGCCUGCUCAAACAGGGCUUCCUGCCAGAGCAGGGUUAGACUGGCAGGACCAGAAUGAACCAAUAGAAUUCUGACAUCUGUGUCUGGCACAGGGAUGGAUAUUUCGGGUACAAGCAUAGGUGGCACUAGAGAUGGCAAAGCACAUGCAAUUAGCAAUGCAAGGCAUCCUGGAACACUAGAUAUCUAUAGAGACCUGUCAUAUAAUAAAAAAAACAAAGACCGCCCUACUGUUUUUUUUUUUUUCCACUGAAUAUCCUGUUUCCUUCAGUUUUCAUAUUAUGAGACAAAUGCAAACAGAGCACUAGUGAUUAAUGGCAUAAGCUUUUUUUAUGACAAACAAAUUUAUCAUUACAAACUGCUGCUGCCACCAGUGUUGUUUCUAUUCUAGUGCAGCAGAGACAGAAAAGACUGUUCAACCUGCAGCAGAUAAAAACAAGCAUCUGCUGAACAUCAAACAGUGAACCGAAGACCCAUGAUAAGACAAAACAGAAGAGAACCAUCACAGAGCACUUGAUAACACCUGUUGUUUCAUAAAGAGCUGAAAACUUGCACAAAAAGGAAGCUGAGAUAUUCUACUGUGGCUGACAUCUGAAAGAUUCAUUCAGACAGGCCUCUAGAGAAGAAAAUGAAAAGAAAGAAAAAAAUUAAGAGUGGGAUGAAAGGAGGAGAGGAAAGCCCCCUCCCUCUGCUUUGGCUUUGUGACCGCAGAUCCUGGCAUGGUGACAGAUAUGCUGACAUCACCACGUUCACACCCAUCCACAUACACACGCAAUACAAUCCCUGCACAGAGGGAGGACAAAGGAUCUGAGUCUCGCUUGGUAGGAAACUAAGGCCUGUUCCAUUGUUCCCUAUUGAGCAAAAUCCCUUAUGCACAAAAAAAACAAUGGCAGGUAUAAAACUAACAAACAAAAAAUAUCAUUGUGACAGAUAACAAAAGGGAAACAAUCGCCUUGCCGGAUACUUGGGAGAUGAGGAUAGGCACGCAGGCAAGUUAUUUUUGACCACGGAUCCUCUGCAGCAGACUUGGGAUCAUUAGGAUUUGCACAGAUUUAGCAGUUUUCAUAUUUUGGCUUGAAUUAUGAAAAUAACUGUGGUAAUAAUGUGUGCAGGCAUUCAGAGAUCAUAAAAAUGUCACCCAUAUAUACAGUUCACCAAUGAACUGUUUAUAUAACACCUGAUUGUUUGGCUGCUGUCAAAUAAUGAAAUUACAUAAUUUUAAACGUGUGCAAUAAUACAUUUUUAUGACUGAUUAAAUAAGCAUGAGCAUAUCUUAAAAGUGAGGUUCUGAUCUGUUAAGAAAAAAAAGAACAGUUACAUUUAGAAACUUUAAAGCUUUUGUGUUUAUUAUUAUUAUUAUUAUUAUUUGUUAAAACAUUUUCUUCUAUUCAGGCCUAAUUUGCAGAGACAACUAAAAUUUGGGUUGUUUUCUCUUAAAAGUGCAAACAGAAGGGGAGAGAGGGAAAUUUUUUGCUUUGGAAACCCAUUUAAAAAAACAUUUAAAAAAAUAAUUUUUGCUAGUUGUAAAACUCCAAAAAUUUUGUCUUAUAGAGGUGUACCUUGUAUGAAGAAUGUGGUUAAAUUUAAAUAAAGUAAAAAUGGUAAUGAAAAUUAAAAGGAUCUCAUGAUUCCCAUAAAAUGUAAAUGAGCUUUAUAAAAACUAAAAUAUGUGAGACGGCCUGACUUAUCAUAAGAUGGCAGAAGUUAAAGAGAGGAUACAGAUUUCUUCCCUUGUCCCCUCAAACAGGAAACUGCUGUUAAAACUCCCCCCUCUCCUUUCAGCAACUUCAAAAUCCUGAAAAAUCAUUCUCACAUUAUGAAUUUCAACACUAGGGCUUUAAAUAGAAAUCUGAAGUGUGGGACCAGACAGACAGUAAAUUACAUAAGGAAGACACACCACAGCACUCUGACUCUUAACCGCGGCAAACACCUGCUCAGCUUUUUAAAACGUAUCCACAACCUAUUAGCUGUUAUGGUU